AUGAUGCAUUCGUUUUGUGGUUUUUUUUUAUACCUUUUCUCCCUGAAUGUAAUUGUCCUAGGAUGUUUGAUCACCUACCUAAUGGUUGGUGACACCGUGAUUCAUUCUUGGACUAUAAUGAACACGCAAGAAAAAUUGCUGUAGCAGUAAACCCUUUGAAUUGCAAUUAAGUGUGUUUACUGUGCAAAGAAUGAGAUGGGGGAAAAUAAACAGGAAUAAAUAUGGCUAUUAUUUAUUUGCCAACUGUAUUAUGGCUGUUUUGAAAUAUUCAGAAAUUGGCUAGAAAACUGGAGUUUUCAGCAUUAAUAGAGCUCCUCUUUAGUCUUUUCCGUUUUCUAAAGAAAAGUGAGUUUUGUCAACCUCUAAAAUCACUUCCAUUUUUUUUGCUAAUAAAUGACCUUGGAAUUGAAAUGGGUUUCCAGGGAAGAGUAUUUUGGAGGAAAUGGAGCAAAUGAAAAAAAAAAAAAAUCAUUUAAGAUGUAAAACGUUUUGGUUGCUGUAACUGCAAAAUCUUGUAAUAUGAAUGAUUAGCUGAUAGCAUGUUCCUUACUAAGUCAGUGAUGCAAUUCUGCUCACAACAGAUCUGCACACAUAAUCUAAACUUGCCUUAGUAGUAAUGUGCUUUUUUUUUAAUAUGUAACUAGCCGACAGAAGUUUCAGAUGGGUGGAAAUAUUUAUGCACAAUUUAACACUAGGAAUUUCUCUGCUAAUCAUCAGACAAACUUCAAUUCAUGUCAUGUCAUGACCUAACACAGUUUUAAUAUAAUUUGUUUGUUCGUUUCAUCACUGGAGUGAGGCACAUUGUUUCACUGGAAAACUGGUAAAAAUUUUCAGUAGCCUAUGAUGCUUGUAGUUCUGACUUUGAAAACAGCUUGUGAAGUAAAAAACUUAAGAGUAUUUAUACAAUAAAUGUGCAGUAUGGCAUGCCCAAAUAAUUACAAUUUAAUUCUAUUAAACAAUGUAUAUUUAAAUAACUAAAUUUUGUUUUCAAAAUGUUAUAGUUUUACUGCACUUAUAUUUGAGUAAGUAGUUCAACUUUCCUAUUUACAUAAACUGAAAAAAAAAAAUUAUCCAGUGCACUGAUAGAAGUAGGGGAAGUAGAACGCUCAUAUAUAGAAAACCACUCUUGAACUUAGCCUCUUUAUUUCACUUCUUUUUCCUUCCUGUUUUUUAAAGUUCAGAAGAGAACAGGGUUAAUGGAGUUUUCAGCAUAAGUUGUUGUAAGUUGGUUUGGUUUUGUUCAAGGGUUUUUUUUAUUACUUAUCAUUCUAAGUGUUUUUUACAAGAAUGGUCUUCUGAGAUCUUUCAUAAAUUGCUGUGAACUACAGUGAGGUUUAAGAUAGUUUAAUCACCACUUAACAAAAGUUAUUUUCCUUUCAUAUAUAUGCGUGGGUUGUGUAUAUAAUGCACUGUAUGAUGUUGAUUUUCCCUGGAAUAGCUAAGUUCCUUAAAGCUAAUUUCUUAAGAACUGAGAAGGUAGCAUCAACACUGUAAGCCAAAAGCUGUACUCUCUUAUGGUUAACCAUUAAUAUCCUGAUGUAGGCAGGAUAUUCUGUCAUGGGAUUUCUUUGCAGUGGCUUGUCUGUUUGUAAACUCUUGUCUGAGAGUUUGUAAUACCAUCUUUAAAAUGAAGAAAUUGAAUCCUUUUUUAGUGAAAUCAACUUAACACUGUUUAUAGAAGUUUUCCAGAUAACUACAUUGGAAUACUGGUUGGGUUUUUUUUUAUUUGUUUUUCUUCAUUGUUUAUUGUUUAGGGAGCAUUUUUCCACUCUCAGUUCUUCCAGUACAAGCUUAACUUUCUGCUAGCCAAAAUAAGUUACUGCCCUGACAGAUGUAAGUUCUGUGCAUUGUCUGUGUGGAUGCCUCCUAACAUAAAGGUGUAAACACAUCACAAUUGAAAGUGUGACUGUUCACACUGUUUAUUUUGAAUUCUUAAUGAGUCUCACUCUAAUGGAGUCGUAAAGGGCUUUGUAAAGGACUUCUUUACCAGUCUGUAGCAAUUUUUGGCUCUUCCAUUAGCCCCAUGAGACCCUGAAGUUGGAUGCUGAAGCCAUAGGUUGACUGUCAUGUAUGAGACUGAAAACAGUACAACUUCAAGCCUCCUGGAAAAAUAAGAGAUGCUUAUUUUGACUUUGCAAAUAAAAUACAAGGGAGACAGAUCCAAAAUGCAAGACAGAAGGGAGACUUCAAGUAUGUCUUAGUAUGUCUUUCUGUAUUUGCUGGAUUUGGAUGUGGAUGUUAUACUUCUUGCGAGACAAGAAAGAAGAGUGGAUUCCUCUUCCUACUUCCACAAGUGACAGUGGACAUCCUCCAGUUCUUUACAAAUGCUCCAAUAGGAUGAAGUAACAAGAGAUGUGAAUGUUGAAGGACCCAUUUUCAGCUAUAAUCUGUUUAAAACCAGUCAUCUCCAUGAAGAAUAACUGUGGUUUUCCAGUUGCCUUGACUGGGACUUCUUUUUAAUUUUUUCAACUGAACCUCUGCACCUGCUGAAAGACUCUGAUAAGGAGAAUAAAUGAAAAGAAGACAUUUUUAUCUACUGUAGCUUUGAGUCUGUUUCUUACAAAAUUAUAUUUGAAGGACAGUAUACUAAGGAGAGACAAAAGACCUGAAAGAAUUUCAGCAGAACAUUGUGUAACAUGUUGCCAUCAAAAAAAUUAAAAAGAACAAAGCAUGCAAAAACCUUUGUUACUUAGGAGCAAUUCUUUUUAUUAGGUGUCUAGACACAAUGCUAGCAGGCACUUGCUGUGUGAGCUGCAGAAUCCUUCCCACUGGAAAAUGGUGGAUUUCACUGUUCUGCUGUACAUGUGUUAACCUUGGGGCUUUGAGACCAAUGUCCUUAUUGUAUAUUAAAAAAAUAGUAAAAUAGCAAUAAUGGAAAAACUAACUUCUUAAAAUCUUAAGAGAUGUCUUCAAAUCAGUGUUUUAAAAUGAGUUAGUUCAUUUAAACAAAUAUAGAAGCCUUAUACAUUGUGAAGUGUACUGCAUUGUGAAUGACUUGUAUUUAAAAAAUCUGCAAAACAGCAGUUUUGUUGUUUGUUUGUUUGUUUGCUUUUUAUUGAUUUUCUUUUGUGUGUGCUUGCAAAUUACAAAUUUCUAGAAAAUUCCUCUUAUUUUAUUCAAAGAAGUACUCAGUUUCUGUAGGGGUUUGGGUUUUUAGUUUUUGCUAUUUGUAACUUGGAUGCCAUGUAUUUAGAAAUAUCUACUUAAAUCUUUUGAUGAUAUCAGAGACUGUAAAGCUCUUAGUCACUCAGAACUAAAAGCAAAAGGUUGUAUCCACAUCCUUUGAAGCAGAUGGUUUUCUAUCUGUAUGCAACCUAAGAGCUAUGAUGAAGGAAGUUGAUGAGUUCAUUGUCAUUUUAGAUAUUUUUGUUUGCCUGUAGUGCAGUAUCUUAACAUAGAUGUUAAUUCAGUGGUUGAUUCUGGUUUUUAUUAUUCAUAUUUUUAAGAGAAAGUGAAAAUUGAAUUCAUUGUAAAAACAAGUUCUUUUUACAUCGUGUAAGUUGGUAUAAAAUUUCUAUAGUUAUGGAAGAUUAUGUCCAAAAUUGUAGUACUGCCAUGGUUUUGUAUAUGUAACGUAUUAAAACCCUGUUUUGUGCUUGGU
This is a long non-coding RNA of Coturnix japonica (Japanese quail), 3601 nucleotides long. RefSeq lists it as uncharacterized. The record is from RefSeq and is a predicted model, not a curated record. NCBI's taxonomy places the organism in Eukaryota, Metazoa, Chordata, Aves, Galliformes, Phasianidae.